This 992-nucleotide long non-coding RNA is filed under the name Drosophila guanche. The record is from RNAcentral. Lineage: Eukaryota; Metazoa; Arthropoda; Insecta; Diptera; Drosophilidae.
GCCGCCCUAACUUAUCCAGUCCGAUACGGAGGGCGCCGAUGCAGUAGAUGCCGCUGCAGCGGGCGGCUCUGUUAUCUGAUUGGGCGCCAGCGAUCGCAUGAUCUUGUUUAUGCGUAGGCGGCUCUUAUCUCUUGUGAGCGCGGACGGCUCGCCGGCUAGGUUUCGGUGUAGGUUUAGAAGUAAGCUUUAGUUUAGAAUUGGACGAAUAAAUGAACGGAGCGUUCAUAUCAACUCCGACACGAGUCGUAAAACGUGUAUUGAUAUAAUCAUAUUGUUGAGCCUUAAGGGCCAACGAAAUAGAGGGCAAUUACCCUCUCAACAUAAUCUUCGGUAGAAGACUCAGUUGCCAACCGCAACCACCGUCCCCCGCUACAAGAGCGGGCCACGGGAACCCGAUCGCUGCCGCCGGAGCCAACGCAACGCAUACCGCAGCUCGGACCAAAAAACCGCCAUAAAGUUAAUUGGCGCCCAUCGGGAUUUAGGAUCCACGUCCCCAAGAAAAAUAACAUGUAAGUGACUGUUCGGAAAAAAUAAAGCUUGUGAGAGAAUUUUGAUCUCCCCUUCGCUGAUCGUUUAUGAGUUGGGACUACAGAAACAAGGUCGAAUACGACAGCGACGAGAGCCUAGACUUAUUGUACCAGCCACCAGUCAGAAAAGUGCAGAAUCAAUUUAAAAUGGACCCAGCCAUGAUAAAAGCGUUAGUAGAAGGCGCAAUCAACACAGCCCUCGUCGAACAGGAACGACGACUGAGUGCAGAAUUUAGCAGGGAACUCGAAAAAGUUAGAAAUAGUGUGAGCGCUCUAACUGUAGGUGUCCCUCAGGUAGAAACUUAUAAGAGAGUGACCAUUGACACUAGUAUAAAAUGUGAAGUGAAACUAGAUAUCAUAAAAUCAGUACCAACUUUCAACGGGAAUCAUGAGGAAUAUGUGUCUUGCAGACAAUCUGCUCUAGAUGCGUACGAAGUUUUCAAAAACUACUCUGGUAGUCAGACA